Molecule: ribosomal RNA, 292 nt
Filed under: uncultured bacterium
Lineage: Bacteria
Description: partial 16S ribosomal RNA
Source: RNAcentral
GGACUACUAGGGUUUCUAAUCCUGUUUGCUCCCCACGCUCUCGCGCCUCAGCGUCAGUAUGAGUCCAGGAAGUCGCCUUCGCCACGGGUGUUCCUUCCGAUAUCUACGCAUUUCACCGCUACACCGGAAAUUCCACUUCCCUCUACCCUACUCUAGGUCCCCAGUCUCAUAGGCCGUUCCCAGGUUGAGCCCGGGGCUUUCACCUAUGACUUAAAGACCCGCCUACGCGCCCUUUACGCCCAGUAAUUCCGAUUAACGCUCGCACCCUCUGUAUUACCGCGGCUGCUGGCAC